Molecule: ribosomal RNA, 70 nt
Filed under: Ostertagia ostertagi
Lineage: Eukaryota; Metazoa; Nematoda; Chromadorea; Rhabditida; Trichostrongylidae
Description: partial large subunit ribosomal RNA
Rfam family: Eukaryotic large subunit ribosomal RNA
Source: RNAcentral
UGCAACCUGAACUCAGGCGUGAUUACCCGCUGAACUUAAGCAUAUCAUUUAGCGGAGGAAAAGAAACUAA